UAAGGAAUCUUCCGCAAUGGGCGAAAGCCUGACGGAGCAACGCCGCGUGCAGGAUGACGGCCUUCGGGUUGUAAACUGCUUUUAUAUGGGAAGAUUAUGACGGUACCAUAUGAAUAAGGACCGGCUAACUACGUGCCAGCAGCCGCGGUAAUACGUAGGGUCCAAGCGUUAUCCGGAAUCACUGGGCGUAAAGCGUGCGUAGGCGGGUAUUUAAGUGCAAUGCGAAAUCCUGGGGCUCAACCCCACGGACUGUAUUGCAUACUGGAUACCUAGAGGAGUGCAGAGGCAAGUGGAAUUACCGGUGUAGCAGUGAAAUGCGUAGAGAUCGGUAGGAACACCAAUGGCGAAGGCAGCUUGCUGGGCACCACCUGACGCUAAGGCACGAAAGCGUGGGGAGCGAACAG
This 404-nucleotide ribosomal RNA is filed under the name uncultured bacterium. RNAcentral's name for it is "bacterial SSU rRNA". It matches the Rfam family "Bacterial small subunit ribosomal RNA", at positions 355 to 775 of the family's 1533-position model. The record is from RNAcentral.